AGAGUUUGAUCAUGGCUCAGGACGAACGCUGGCGGCGUGCUUAACACAUGCAAGUCGAGCGGAAAGGCCCUUCGGGGUACUCGAGCGGCGAACGGGUGAGUAACACGUGAGCAACCUGCCCCUGGCUCUGGGAUAGCUCCCGGAAACGGGGAUUAAUACCGGAUAUGACUGCCCGCCGCAUGGCGGGUGGUGGAAAGUUU
RNAcentral lists this ribosomal RNA (200 nucleotides) under uncultured bacterium. RNAcentral describes it as "partial 16S ribosomal RNA". It matches the Rfam family "Bacterial small subunit ribosomal RNA", at positions 8 to 210 of the family's 1533-position model. The record is from RNAcentral.